UACGAAGGGGGCUAGCGUUGCUCGGAAUCACUGGGCGUAAAGGGUGCGUAGGCGGGUCUUUAAGUCAGGGGUGAAAUCCUGGAGCUCAACUCCAGAACUGCCUUUGAUACUGGCGACCUUGAGUCCGGGAGAGGUGAGUGGAACUCCGAGUGUAGAGGUGAAAUUCGUAGAUAUUCGGAAGAACACCAGUGGCGAAGGCGGCUCACUGGCCCGGUACUGACGCUGAGGUGCGAAAGCGUGGGUAGCAAACAGG
Molecule: ribosomal RNA, 253 nt
Filed under: uncultured bacterium
Lineage: Bacteria
Description: partial 16S ribosomal RNA
Rfam family: Bacterial small subunit ribosomal RNA
Source: RNAcentral